Molecule: long non-coding RNA, 2054 nt
Filed under: Citrus maxima (pomelo)
Lineage: Eukaryota; Viridiplantae; Streptophyta; Magnoliopsida; Sapindales; Rutaceae
Description: long non-coding RNA (CMAX_LNC002844)
Source: RNAcentral
AUUGAAUGUAGCUUCAUUAAUUUCAAAAAUUGAUACAAAUCACAUCCACCAAAUAAAAAGUAGAACAACACAUCAAUUUUGGGGAAAAAAUAUCCCAAAUGCAUACACAAAAUGAUCUCAUAUCUUGAAUUUCACGAGCAUCUUCCGCUUAAACUUUUUCUUAUUCUCUGAAAUUUUUGCCUCAACUUCAUCUUCUCCAUCCCCAUCAUCAUGUUCAUCCCACAAAGCAAUAUCCUACAUGAAGGAAGAAAUUUUUAACCAUUAAAUAUGAGACUUCAGCCAUGGAUAAUAACCAUAAGUGCAAUAUUCUAUAUACAUAAGCAAAUAUGCUACAUUUGGAGUCACCAGCAAGACUUGAAUUCUGAGUUAGCAAAUAUUUACUAACCUAUAAUUUUGGACAUAAGUCCCCAUACAAGUUGUCAAAAAAUGCAACAGUACCAUCAGAAGAUUUACGCUCUUGCAAUAAAUCUGGUCUAUCAGUUAGAAAACCCAAUAAUGGUCAGUUUCUAUAGAUUUGAAAGUGAAAAAAAAAAAUUAUAAAAAAAGUGAAAAAAAUUAUAAAAGAAAAGCUUGAAAGUGGAAUGAAAAUUAAUAAUUUGUACCUCUAGAGAUGAUUCUUGUGCACUUAACUUUCCAAGCACAAGCUUCAUUAUUCUUUUCAACUUCUUCACUUUCUUCUUCAGAAACGAUAACAUAGUGGUGAAUAUAAACAAUCAAUAUGCAACAAUUGCAUCUACGCAACCCACCUUCUUUCUCAAAGUUAUUACCUGAGUCGCAUACUCUUUAGAUUCAAGGUACUGACAUGUACACUUAGAGGAGGCAACAAACACUUUUCAAGCAGAUGCAUAUUGUUAUGCAAGCCACUUCACAUCCCAAACUUAUCAUGAUAAGUUUGUAGAAAAUCAACAAAAAAAUUGAGAGCAACGUGUCAAGUGACAAUUACAAUUAUGACAAGCAGUGCUGAAUGUUAAUUAACCAAUCAUCUCCUAACAAUACUUUUGCUCCCACCACUUAAGAUAAAGUAUAACUAAAAAAUCAUGAUUUAAAGAAGAAUUAAUUAAAGAAAAAAAUUGUGGAACUCAUUUGGAUUGUAGCACUUUUAUCUCACAGGCGGAAGCCAGCUGCAUGUAAACAUGUGAAAAACAAAGAUUUUUUAUUUUUUACUUUAUUUUUAUAAGCAAAAAACAAAGGUCGUAAACGUGAGUUACGUUACUGUAUAGUAAGGGUGGUGACAUUUUUCCACCGAUAAAGGUGGUGAUAUUUGCAAUAAGUUCAUAUUAUUAUUUUUUUCAAAAUUAAAUAAAGAAGAGGUUCGGAGAUUUAAUGAACCAAAAUUAAAUAGUUAAAUUAUUACAAAUAAGAGCUCAUGUUUUUAGGACAAUUCAGUCAUUUUAUAUUAUCGGGAUAAAAUAGUCAAAUAAAAUUUAUUGUAAAGUAAUCUUAAUGGUCAAAGAUGUCUAGGUACAAAAAAUAAUAAGAAAGAUUUAAUUGAUUUAUUGUCUAAAGUUUUGGUUGAUUUGUAUAUUUUAAAAAUAAUGCAAAGUUAUUCUAAUUAUUUUCUAGAAUUAAGGUGGAUUUACAAAAUUAAUAAAGGGUAAAUUUUCAAACUCCUGGUGGAAUAAGGAUCUUCAAAAUAUUCUUAAAUUGUUGUAAAAUUCAAUUUAUUCUAUUUUUAUUCAAAAUAUAUGGGAAAAAUGAGGGUGAGUUAGGGAAAAAAAAAUUUCGUAUUCUUUACAAAAACAAAGAAUAAGUUCAAAUUUACAAUAGCCUAUUAGAGUAUUUAUAUAUGUAGGGACAUUUCGUUCAACUAUUGAAACUCUCUUCGUUCACUUUUGCCAACAUUUCGUUUUCUGGAAAAAAAAAAAGUUGAAAUUAAAUACUAAAAAGAAAAAAAAGAGAAAUUAAAGUUGGAAUAAUUACGAAGGAGAGAGCAGCAAUGGUGGCAAUCACGAGAAGGACAGUGACGAUUUUGAACAAAUUGUCACGUACCCAUGUGGAGAAAUCAAGGGAUUUCGAAUUAGAGAAGCGAUGGGAUGAAGUUCUGAUCUGGGAUU